GCUGCCAUCCCGAACCCUCCCAGGGACGAUCCGCCAGCCCAGGCCAGCGCCGGAGCUGCAGCGCCACCUGUAGGCCAAGGAGUUUUUUCCUGGGAGGCUGGAACUGCAGGUGCAGUGACGUCACCGGCGCGCAGGCGCACUGGUGUGUAACGGAUUGGCUUGGCCUUACCCGCGAGGCUUUGCAGUGGUUGCUUGGCUUGGCGGUGGUCGCUUAGCUUGGCGGUGGUCGCUUGGCGUGCCAAGCAGUGAUCACUUGGCUUGGCAUUUCUGGCUUGGCGGUGCUCCUUUCAUAGAUUGGAAACCGCGGGCUUUCCUCCUGGGAGGUUGUGGCCGAGGUAGUAGCUCGCUACUGACGGCCUGCUGGGGUGGAGAAAAGCGGGGAGGGACUAAGGGGUCUGUCUCUGAAGCCCGCAGUCUCCUCCAUGAGGAAGACUGCCCGCGUCGGGAGCCAGGAGGACCAGCGCUGGUGGAAAAACAGCGCUAUUGAAAGCGAGCACGAUGAGGGCACCUUUGACCAGCCCCAGCACGACGUCCGCCUGGAAGAUCUCUGUGAGCUCCACAGAGCUGCCCAGUCCGGCGACGUCCCUGGGGUGGAGCGCGUCCUGUCUCCUGGAGAUACUGGCGUGGACAAGAGGGAUAGGAAGAAGAGGCCUGCAGAUAAAACAUCUAAUGAAAAGAACAAGGUAUUGUAAAAAAGUAAAUGAUCUAAAAUAUUAUGUUGAAAAAAACCACAUUCUAAAAGGUAAAAUGAAAAAAACAGGAUGUUUUGUUCUAAAGCUGUUUGCUUAGAAAAAGUGAUUAAGAAACAGUAGCUGUUGAUAACAGUACCUUUUAAGAACAAUCUGUUGCUUUAAAGAAGUACCUGUGUUUUUGCUCAUCAAAAAAAAAAAAAAAAAAAAAAAGGAGAAAUACCACUUCUGUACAUUUAGCAUAUGCUAUAAAUCUUUCGAGGACAUUUUGAAACAGUGUUAUUUAUCUUAUAGGUCAAAAACCAAGUACAUCCUGAGGCUGACUUUGCUGACUCAGUGGGGCCAUCUGAAAAGGCUCACUCUACUUAUGAGAAUUUUAUGUUGCUGAUUGAACAACUUGGAAUGGAGCGUAAAGGUAGGACCAUUGCAUAAAUGCAAAGCCUUUUGAUGUAUCCUGCAGUAAUGUGUGUAUACAUUGCUGAGAACUGAUGUGUGAUAGUGAAGCUCAUCUCAGAAAU
Molecule: long non-coding RNA, 1207 nt
Filed under: Piliocolobus tephrosceles (Ugandan red Colobus)
Lineage: Eukaryota; Metazoa; Chordata; Mammalia; Primates; Cercopithecidae
Description: lncRNA (ENSPTEG00000013434.1)
Source: RNAcentral